AUUUCCCACGGGGAUUCGCGGGCGCCUUGGGCGCCUGGGCUCCCCGGGACGCUGGGCAAGCAAGGGGUCCGCUGAGCGGGCUCGGUUGGCCACCAGCCGGAGGCACAAACCACGCUGAACCAGCAGGGAUGGUGUCUCGGCUUGGGGACUCACGGCCACGCAGUCUCUUCUCCCCCACGGACGAGUUUAGGCACGACCAGCACUCACCCAAACCCACCCCUGCUCCAAAGCCCAGAAGGCGAGAAAGGUGCGCGCUUGCUGUCCCUGGAAGACUGCAGCCGGGCAGGUUCUCGGACGGAUCUCCCCCACCUCACCCCACCCAGGGUGCGGUCAACGAAUUUGGUCCCUCUCGCUUGGCAGCCAGUUGCGGGGUACCAGCUAGAGCUUCUGCGAUUCAUCCCCUGCGCACAGCUCUUGCCUUGCGAGCCCAGAGUCCAGAAGCCUCAGACUGCGAGCGAGCUGGAGAAAAGGAGGCAGCACGCCACCGCUCCCCGGAGCAUCCAGGCCAGGGUAGAAAGAGCCUCAGGUGCCGACUCUGGGAGCCCAAUGGCCAGAGGGAUCCCUUCCCAGACCAGCUUCGCCCGGAGCUAAGGAGCUUGCACCGCAAUGCAGCGGGAUCCAGGCUCUCCGAGCCGGAGAUGUCCGGGAUCCUGUAGUCUGGGAACACGGGGGCGCGGGAGCCGAGAGACUCCGCGAACCAUCCGCGGGCGCCCAGGGUCGGCCCAGGGCAUGCCUGUGGGUACCAAGCCAGCCCCGUGCUCCAUCUCCACCCAGGCUCCGGAACAGCCUUGCCCUCGGGUACCGGGGUGCAGUCAAAGGACCCUGAGCAGUCAAAGGAGCCCCGCGAAGCGCGCGGCACCCAGGAACUGGCAGCCGCCAGCCGCCAAGUUGCGCCGCUAAAGGAAUCCCUGCUGCCCUAACAGCGCCUCUUUGCAUGCCUCUGUGGAAUGGAAUCCCUAGGAUUGUCCAUCUUCCUGGGAAGAGAGAUAAAGGACCAAAGUGCACCCUCGGACUUCCUAUCCAAAAUGGCCUCUGCAAAGAGGCUUUUCUAUCCAGAAAAGCUGCUUCUUCUGUCUCAGGGCUAAUUUCCCAACAGAUACAAACGCUGCAUAUGAGGAUUUACAUAACAAGGUUGGUUGUUAUUGACGUGAAGAAAGAUCAACUGAUUGUUUUGUUGAUUUUGUGUCUUCUCAAACUGAAAUAAAAUGUCUCAAAGAAUAAAAUACGUAUCUAUUCUUAAAAUUCUAAUUACUGAAACC
This is a long non-coding RNA of Meriones unguiculatus (Mongolian gerbil), 1259 nucleotides long. RefSeq lists it as uncharacterized. The transcript is spliced from 4 exons. The record is from RefSeq and is a predicted model, not a curated record. Lineage: Eukaryota; Metazoa; Chordata; Mammalia; Rodentia; Muridae.